CGCGGUGAUUUAACAGCUUUUGUUUUGGGCAGAAGAACCUAUGGGCACAAAAAGCAGGAACGAGUAGCGGUGGCUGAAGAACGAGCAGGAGCUUGAAUUUCAGUUUUCCUAUGAGGAAUUUUCCAGAAAAGAUAUCUUCACUGUGAAAUAACUAAAUAAAUGCCCACUCAGUACAACAGUGCCGAUGUAAUAGUAACAAAAAUUCUCAGCCUCAUUUAAGAUAAAAGGCCAUCAUCAGACAAUGCAGGACAGAUUGUAGCAAUAGGAAGUACUACAGAGAUUCAGAGAAUGCCAUAAAUAACCUUGGAAUCCUGUGCUUGGUUUUGUUCUCAAAGAAUUCCAGAUAUGAUUUUUUUCCAGACAAAAAUACCUGCUACAUGCUUCCUUCUGUAUGAAUACGAGACCUACCUUCAUUCAUGUUUCCUCUAUGAAGCUUUCCCUGAGCUCCAAACACAGAGCUGAGACUUCCACCUAAUGUAGAAAGCUAG
Molecule: non-coding RNA, 488 nt
Filed under: Pan troglodytes (chimpanzee)
Lineage: Eukaryota; Metazoa; Chordata; Mammalia; Primates; Hominidae
Source: RNAcentral